Molecule: ribosomal RNA, 242 nt
Filed under: uncultured bacterium
Lineage: Bacteria
Description: partial 16S ribosomal RNA
Rfam family: Bacterial small subunit ribosomal RNA
Source: RNAcentral
UACGUAGGGUGCGAGCGUUAAUCGGAAUUACUGGGCGUAAAGCGUGCGCAGGCGGUUUUGUAAGCCAGAUGUGAAAUCCCCGGGCUUAACCUGGGAAUGGCAUUUGGGACUGCAAGGCUGGAGUGCGGCAGAGGAGACUGGAAUUCCUGGUGUAGCAGUGAAAUGCGUAGAUAUCAGGAGGAAUACCGAUGGCGAAGGCAGGUCUCUGGGCUGACACUGACGCUCAUGCACGAAAGGCGUGG